GCCGCUUUUCUUAUUUCCUCACAGGAAGGAGCUAGCUAUUCAGCUGGUUUCAGGCCUCUGACGGAGGCCUUGCUCCGUAUGUAGUUGCAGACUUGGUGUGUCGGUAAGAGGAACGAUGCCUCCCUGGACCUUCUGCAGCCUGGUGCCGCCUGUGUGGUGUUGGCCACGACGGAGGCUUUGUGACAGAGCGCAUGCCUUUUGGUCCCAUACAGGCUCAGCCAAGCCCAGCUGACGGGCAUGCGUGUGACAUGGGAAGAUCCCACCCAGACUCAUGGACCCUGGAAACAGCUGGUUUUGAAAUCAAGCAGAUAUUGAAUAUCUGGUGA
RNAcentral lists this long non-coding RNA (326 nucleotides) under Capra hircus (goat). RNAcentral's name for it is "lncRNA (ENSCHIG00000007242.1)". The record is from RNAcentral. Lineage: Eukaryota; Metazoa; Chordata; Mammalia; Artiodactyla; Bovidae.